ACGUAGGGUGCGAGCGUUAAUCGGAAUUACUGGGCGUAAAGCGUGCGCAGGCGGUUCGCUAAGACAGGUGUGAAAUCCCCGGGCUUAACCUGGGAAUGGCGCUUGUGACUGGUCAGCUAGAGGACGGUAGAGGGGUGUGGAAUUCCGGGUGUAGUGGUGAAAUGCGUAGAGAUCCGGAGGAACACCAGAGGCGAAGGCGACACCCUGGGCCGUACCUGACGCUAAGACGCGACAGCACGGGGAGCGAACGG
Molecule: ribosomal RNA, 251 nt
Filed under: uncultured prokaryote
Description: partial 16S ribosomal RNA
Rfam family: Bacterial small subunit ribosomal RNA
Source: RNAcentral